This 467-nucleotide ribosomal RNA is filed under the name Encephalitozoon hellem. Its description in RNAcentral is "SSU rRNA". It matches the Rfam family "Microsporidia small subunit ribosomal RNA", at positions 156 to 624 of the family's 1311-position model. Lineage: Eukaryota; Fungi; Microsporidia; Unikaryonidae. The record is from RNAcentral.
CCCAGUAAGUUGUAGGCCUAUCAGCUGGUAGUUAGGGUAAUGGCCUAACUAGGCGUAGACGGGAGACGGGGGAUCAGGGUUUGAUUCCGGAGAGGGAGCCUGAGAGAUGGCUACUACGUCCAAGGAUGGCAGCAGGCGCGAAACUUGCCUAAUCCUUUUUGGGGAGGCGGUUAUGAGAAGUAUGAUUAUUAUUUAGCGAGUAUAAAUGAGUUGUGAUUUAUUGGAGGGCAAGUCGGGUGCCAGCAGCCGCGGUAAUACCUGCUCCAAUAGUGUCUAUGGUGAAUGCUGCAGUUAAAAUGUCCGUAGUUGUGUAUGUAUUGUAUGUCUUUUAUGUGAUGUUUAUAGUUUUUAGUGGAUGUAGGGAAUUGUAGCAGAGGACGAGGGACACUGGAUAGUUGGGCGAGGGGUGAAAUAUGAAGACCCUGACUGGACGAAGUGAAGCGAAGGCUGUGCUCUUGGACUUAUGU